ACGAACGCUGGCGGCGUGCUUAACCCAUGCAAGUCGCACGGAAAGGCCCUGCUUUUGUGGGGUGCUCGAGUGGCGAACGGGUGAGUAACACGUGAGUAACCUGCCCUUGACUUUGGGAUAACUUCAGGAAACUGGGGCUAAUACCGGAUAGGAGCUCCUGCUGCAUGGUGGGGGUUGGAAAGUUUCGGCGGUUGGGGAUGGACUCGCGGCUUAUCAGCUUGUUGGUGGGGUAGUGGCUUACCAAGGCUUUGACGGGUAGCCGGCCUGAGAGGGUGACCGGCUACAUUGGGACUGAGAUACGGCCCAGACUCCUACGGGAGGCAGCAGUGGGGAAUAUUGCACAAUGGGCGGAAGCCUGAUGCAGCAACGCCGCGUGCGGGAUGACGGCCUUCGGGUUGUAAACCGCUUUCGCCUGUGACGAAGCGUGAGUGACGGUAAUGGGUAAAGAAGCACCGGCUAACUACGUG
This 467-nucleotide ribosomal RNA is filed under the name uncultured bacterium. RNAcentral describes it as "partial 16S ribosomal RNA". It matches the Rfam family "Bacterial small subunit ribosomal RNA", at positions 29 to 507 of the family's 1533-position model. The record is from RNAcentral.